RNAcentral lists this long non-coding RNA (1341 nucleotides) under Cyanistes caeruleus (blue tit). Its description in RNAcentral is "lncRNA (ENSCCEG00000017053.1)". The record is from RNAcentral. Lineage: Eukaryota; Metazoa; Chordata; Aves; Passeriformes; Paridae.
AUCAGGCAGGCAGGUCACACAAGAUGCUCACCACAGACUUCCAGGUCCUUAGAACAGAUGAAAAUUUCUUGGCAGUAGCAAUAAAAUAGUAUUAUCGACAUAUUCCAUGAAUAUGUCUGAAGAAGAGAGGGGAUAUAUUUUAAAAUAAAUUUUCCAUCUGUCAGCCUAAACAUGCAUCACCAGCAUCACUUGCUGCCAAUGAUCCAGGAAGACAUGGUUUACUCUCAUCUCAGAGUACUAGCAGAGACUCUGCUUUAGAUGAUGUGCACUUUUUUCUGCAAAUUAAGUAUAUCCAUUCAGAUGCCUGCACUUAGCUAACACAAAAGCUGAAACAAAGGCCCCACACCCACAUCUCCCUGGGGUUCACACAGACGAGACUUGCAGUGCUCCUUGGGAUAAGACAAGUCACUUGCCACCAAAGAAGUGAAUUUCUUUUAAGAAUCUUGCGCUUUCUAAGUAAUGGGAAUCCCUGCAAUAAUUAGUUCCUUUUCUUCCAUAGAAGAAAGGGAUAAAGGAUUUUAAUUAUGCAAUUCUGACAGUGACUGUGGUAAUUAUAUCCCUGCAAUGCAUAACAGAUUAUUUUCACAGAUGAGGUCGAUUUUAUUAAAAAACAGUUUCAGGAUUUGUUUUCAACAGCAUUGUAGACUUGAAAAAACCACCAUGUUUACAGAAGAAGCAGGGGAGACCUGAAACAAAUUAGCACUUUGAUUAAAUUCUGUCCAUGCCAAAAACUUUUCUCCUAAUGCCAAGUGAGGAAGAAGAUAUUUACUGUUUAUGUUCAUCAAAAGAGUCCCCUGCAAGCCCAGAUAACAGCAGGAGAAUGUGCAUUCAGGGCCUGACCUUGAGCUCGCUGAAACCAAAAGGAAAAAAAGCACUGACCUUCAGUUGACCAAGAGGGACACAGUUCAAAGAGAUCAACAAGACCAAAAGGGAAACAAGGUGAGCACCUUCUCCCCAUCCUGAGCUGGUCAAUUGGUUUAGAAACUUUUUUCCCCUUUACUGGGAAUAAGCUAGGAACCAUUUCUGACUUAGUGAGUAGAAAGGUCAUAGCAUACCGUGCUUUAACUAAUAGACCUGUCUUUAUAGACACUGGUAAAAGCUGCUCUUCUAUGACUACAAUUUGAGCAGCUUGAAGUCACUUAUUCUUCUACCACAUAUUCUCAAAUGCCUUCCCAGCCCUCUAUCUUCUACCAGGUAAAUAUCUUUGUACCUUUUGCAAGUUGAUUCAAUCUUCUUUUUUUAUUUGCUUUUAAAUCCACAGUAAGUAGAUGUUCCUUACCUCAUCUCACUGCAUUUUAAAUUGAUUUAUUAUUUCAAAUAGGAGAAAAUAGUUCCAACAGG